This 403-nucleotide ribosomal RNA is filed under the name uncultured bacterium. RNAcentral describes it as "bacterial SSU rRNA". It matches the Rfam family "Bacterial small subunit ribosomal RNA", at positions 355 to 774 of the family's 1533-position model. The record is from RNAcentral.
UAGGGAAUAUUGCAAAAUGGGCGAAAGCCCGAUGCAGCAACGCCGCGUGGGCGAUGAAGGCCUUCGGGUCGUAAAGCCCUUUUUGAGGGGAUGAGGAAGGACAGUACCCUCAGAAUAAGCCUCGGCUAACUACGUGCCAGCAGCCGCGGUAAAACGUAGGAGGCGAGCGUUAUCCGGACUUACUGGGCGUAAAGCGCGUGCAGGCGGAUUGGAGAGUUGGAUGUGAAAGCUCCCGGCUUAACUGGGAGAGGUCGUUCAAUACUUCCAGUCUUGAGUGCAGUAGAGGGAAGUGGAAUUCCGGGUGUGGUGGUGAAAUGCGUAGAUAUCCGGAGGAACACCAGUGGCGAAAGCGGCUUCCUGGACUGUAACUGACGCUCAGAUGCGAAAGCUAGGGUAGCAAACG